GUGGGGAAUAUUGGACAAUGGGGGGAACCCUGAUCCAGCCAUGCCGCGUGUGUGAAGAAGGCCUUUUGGUUGUAAAGCACUUUAAGCGAGGAGGAGGCUACCGAGAUUAAUACUCUUGGAUAGUGGACGUUACUCGCAGAAUAAGCACCGGCUAACUCUGUGCCAGCAGCCGCGGUAAUACAGAGGGUGCAAGCGUUAAUCGGAUUUACUGGGCGUAAAGCGCGCGUAGGUGGCCAAUUAAGUCAAAUGUGAAAUCCCCGAGCUUAACUUGGGAAUUGCAUUCGAUACUGGUUGGCUAGAGUAUGGGAGAGGAUGGUAGAAUUCCAGGUGUAGCGGUGAAAUGCGUAGAGAUCUGGAGGAAUACCGAUGGCGAAGGCAGCCAUCUGGCCUAAUACUGACACUGAUGUGCGAAAGCAUGGGGAGCAAACAGGAUUAGAAACCCGUGUAGUCC
This 451-nucleotide ribosomal RNA is filed under the name uncultured bacterium. RNAcentral's name for it is "partial 16S ribosomal RNA". It matches the Rfam family "Bacterial small subunit ribosomal RNA", at positions 354 to 796 of the family's 1533-position model. The record is from RNAcentral.